GCCGAAGUGGCGAAAUCGGUAGACGCAGUUGAUUCAAAAUCAACCGUAGAAAUACGUGCCGGUUCGACGUCGCCUUCGGCACCA
RNAcentral lists this transfer RNA (84 nucleotides) under Klebsiella pneumoniae. Its description in RNAcentral is "tRNA-Leu". The record is from RNAcentral. Lineage: Bacteria; Pseudomonadati; Pseudomonadota; Gammaproteobacteria; Enterobacterales; Enterobacteriaceae.